UUUGUUGCCUAGGCUGGACUGUAGUGGCACAAUUGUCGGCUCACUGCAACCUCUGUCUCCUGGCCCAAGUGAUCCUCCCAUCUUACCCUCCCAAGUAGCUGGGACUACAGAUGCGCAUCACCACACCUAGCUGAUUUUUGUAUUUUUUCUAGAAACAGAGUUUCACCCUGUUGCCCAGGCUGGGCUUUAACUCCUGGACUCAAGAGAUCAGCCCACUUUGGCCUCCCAAAAUGUGGGAUUACAGGUGUGAGCCACCAUGCCUUGCCAAUGAUGUUCUUUACACCUACUCUAAAAUUUCAUGAAGAUGUAUCUAGAAGUGUAUGUUUAUAGUUUUGCUUGGUACUAACUGGACUCAUUCAGUCUGAGAACCUAUGCUGUGCUUCAUUCAGCUCUAGGAAAGCUUAUUUUUUCCCCUUCAUUGUUUCCUUUGAAGAAGGAUUCAUGUUGGAACAUGAGGACUCCUCUUCCAUGUCUCUUUUCACAUUAUUUCUUAGUUCAUUUGCAUUACUUUCUAUGCAAUCUAAACCUAAAGAGCUUUUUAAUUUGCUCUAUAGAUGUCUCCUUUCUACUCUCCAGCCCAACUGUUGAAUUUACUUUUGACGGUUCUAUUUUACAUUAUAAACAUCUAAAUCCUUUCAUUAACAGCUUGUUUUCUAAACUCAAUAUCCUUUAUACCUCAGAAGAUAUCAUUUUACAUAUUGAUUUCUUUAGACAUUGGUACUUAUGUUUGUUGACUCUCAUGGUGUUACUAUCUGCACUAAUGGUGGGCAAAAGGAAGAACAUGCCAAUGGUCAGAUCAUGCUAGCUCAAUAGGGCUAUACUGGUUUUCCUUCUUAAUCUAAGUACCCACACUCUUUGCUCCUGCUUUGAACCAGAUAUCCUUUCUGCACACAGCUUGGCAUAUAAAAGGUGGUUGAACUAAACCAAUUACUUAUGAUGCACUAUCACCACCAUUCUUGGUCCUUUAUAUUGUCUUCUGAGGCAUCUGAAGCAAAAUCCACAUCUCAUGGUAGAAUUCUCUGGCUCUAGCCCUUCAAAUAAUUUCUCAAAAAAUUAUGGAUCCAGUGUACUCCCUUCUUUACAAAACUGGCAAGAUUAUUACAUAACACUUUUGCCUAUCAUAGUAUUAAUCUUUGCUGUCCCUUGUAGGUAUGUGGACAGGAUGAGAUUGAAGCAUGCUCCAUUUUGCUACUUUGAAUAAUUUAUCUGCGAACAAUUCCUCCUGUUCUUGGGAGAAUGAAUGUUCCUUUGAGGGAUGCUGCAGUGAGGGAUGAUCCAAAUAUGAGAUGUUUAGUAUGCAUUCUGGACAGGCAUUAGUUCUCAGUGUAUUAGGUUCUUCCUUUCAUGAAGAUGAGGAAACUUAAAAUCAUCCAUCCUAAAAUCCAUGCUCUCUGCUCAUGCUUUAAUUUUUUAACAAUUUGUGUUAGUUUUUCUUUUCUGACAAGGAAAAGUUUGAAAGAGCAACUGAAAGAUCCUUCUAAAGCUAUAUCUUGGAGGAACACAAUUAAUUUGAUUAGGUUUAAGGAAAGUCAGUAUUUAUAGGUUUGUUUUCUGAAAAAUAAGCUUUAUUGAAUCCCUUGAGGGGAAAAGCAUAAUUUUAUAGCUUAGGUUUCUUCCUUCCCCAGUGAUAUGUUUCUCAAAUUUUAUCCUGAAAUAAAAUUGUGGGCCGAUUGAGAAGCUAGAUGGGCAGACGCAUGGCAGAUCACCAUUGUCCCUGGUUGUUACAUUAGAAAAGAAAGUUGUAACAGAAGAUUCUUUUUGUCAGCCUCUUUCCUAAAGAUUCUAUAGAAACGUUCAGGAGUAUUUUGAUUGUUCUCUACAAUAAAACCUAGGUUGUUCUCUUAAAAAAAAAUUUCAGGUGUUUUCUCUAAACAUUCUCUAACAUUUUAGGCUUUCUCAGCUUAGGAUGAGCUUCUCAGGUGGUUGGAUAUUAGGACUGUGUAUUAUAGCUGACCACAAAUUCUAAUCUUGAAAAACUGCUUCAUGAGACUGUAGAAGAUAGCAUUCUCUUAAGAACUUUCCAAAACUAAAUGACUACUUACUAUCCCCUGGGCUUAUGAAUUCUGUAAAGAAUUAGCAGCUUUAGGUAGAAUAUGGCCAACUUUUUCUGAAGGUUCUUAUUUAGAAACAAAGGAAUACCUGAAGGUCUGAGUUGGCUGCCUGUCUAGAUUUUUUUUUUUUUUUAAAAGAGGCAUCUUGUUCACUUGUUCAUCAAUUAAUGCUCUUGAUGAAUCAUAAUUUUUAUUUCAAUGUCUAUUUCAUAAGAAAUCUAUUCACUGAACAUUAAAACAGAAGGCUGUAUUAACAAAAAAGGCAACAGACUGAGUGAAAAAAAUACCCUUCCAAACAGAUUUCACGUGUCAAUCUCCAUCAGAGAAACAUUUCCCAUCUUAACGGCUCCCUUUAGAAGUAAAUAAUAAUAAUUUGAGAUAAACUACACUUCUUCCACACCCAGAUAUACAGGUUUUUAAUGCUCAAAAAAAUUGUGUAUUUUUCAUGAGAAUUUCUCUCUGAAUUUUGUAAAUAAACCAGUUUAAACAUCAUUAGUUUAUCGAUCCUCUAUAUGUUACCUCAUCUAGAUAUAUACAAAAAUUUGGAAUGGAUAAAUAUUGGUUGAUAAAAAUAUUACAUAGCUGCUAAUGGGAUUUUUUAAGUACAGCAAAUUAAUACUUAAAAGUGUAGUUCUGCUUAUGGCAAGUUUUGUGUUUAAAAUAAUUAAGUAUAUAUACAUCUUCACAUCCAGGCCAAAGAGGUCAGAAGAAUAUUUACAAAAUAAAUAUGUAGGGAAUUUUAGAAUUUCAUUGAUUCAGAUGAAGUGAUGAUUCCUUAAUUAGCAUAAAGCUUUAGAUUGUGUCAACUAUUGUAUACUGUGUAAAUUACUCUGAUCAGCAUAAUUUUUUACUGGUUUGAGUAAGAAAUUUUAACCACUAAAAGACAGUUGGGGUUUUGAUGAAUUGCUAUAUACUACUUAUUAAAAUAAAGUUAGUUAUGGGUAUAGGCCUUAACUACAAUUUAUUCAACAAUAUAUAAACUAAAAAUGUCUUCUCCAUUUCCUCAAAAAAUUUAUUCUUUUAUUCAAAUUUUGAAACUUAAGUUAUUACUACAGCAAACUUCUAAUUAAAAGUCCUUGUCAUUUUAGUUUUCCAAUACUUUCAAAGAAACUUGGUAUAAUUCCUCUUGGUUAAGUUUCUUACUCAACUUUGUGUUGCAAGAAUACUAUAAAAUUUUAAUUAACUACAGUAGAAUAAAAUACCAGUGCAUAUAACAUCUGUUGCAUUUAUAAUACUUCAAUGUAAUGUGCAGACAAUGAAGUUAAGGUUUGCUAAAGAUCCAUUGUUCUGUGGGGCUUAAUUCCUUUUCCAAAAUUAUAAUCUAUAUAUGUGGUUCAAGGUAAAGUAGUUGAAAACUUCACAAUUAUUAAAUAUUUCUGAUUAAAAGUAGAAUGUGACUGUGAAAAUCUGAAAUCAAUAAAAGAAAUGUUAACUAUUUUAGAAUGCCAAAAUUAAUAUUUAAAAACAAACUAAGAAUA
Molecule: long non-coding RNA, 3529 nt
Organism: Macaca fascicularis (crab-eating macaque)
Lineage: Eukaryota; Metazoa; Chordata; Mammalia; Primates; Cercopithecidae
Source: Ensembl